Molecule: non-coding RNA, 202 nt
Organism: Paramuricea clavata
Lineage: Eukaryota; Metazoa; Cnidaria; Anthozoa; Malacalcyonacea; Plexauridae
Source: the annotation of a GenBank genome assembly
CUUCAUAGUUUACAGUAAAAACCCCACCCUAGACUAAACAAAAAACUUAUCCACAUUUAGUAAAGUACAGUGGUACAUGCAUAAUGUACAGCCCAUUUGCUAUAUUAGACGAGUUUUCAGCAUUUCGGGAAUCUUCCUUGUUGGAAUCUUCAAUAACUUCAAUAUAUUUAUGAUCAUUGGAAUUUGAUCUUUCAUCUGUUAC